This 585-nucleotide ribosomal RNA is filed under the name uncultured bacterium. RNAcentral describes it as "partial 16S ribosomal RNA". It matches the Rfam family "Bacterial small subunit ribosomal RNA", at positions 355 to 1375 of the family's 1533-position model. The record is from RNAcentral.
UGGGGAAUUUUGGACAAUGGGCGAAAGCCUGAUCCAGCAAUGCCGCGUGUGUGAAGAAGGCCUUCGGGUUGUAAAGCACUUUUGUCCGGAAAGAAAUCCUUGGCUCUAAUACAGUCGGGGGAUGACGGUACCGGAAGAAUAAGCACCGGCUAACUACGUGCCAGCAGCCGCGGUAAUACGUAGGGUGCAAGCGUUAAUCGGAAUUACUGGGCGUAAAGCGUGCGCAGGCGGUUUGCUAAGACCGAUGUGAAAUCCCCGGGCUCAACCUGGGAACUGCAUUGGUGACUGGCAGGCUAGAGUAUGGCAGAGGGGGGCAGAAUUCCACGUGUAGCAGUGAAAUGCGUAGAGAUGUGGAGGAAUACCGAUGGCGAAGGCAGCCCCCUGGGCCAAUACUGACGCUCAUGCACGAAAGCGUGGGGAGCAAACAGGAUUAGAUACCCUGGUAGUCCACGCCCUAAACGAUGUCAACUAGUUGUUGGGGAUUCAUUUCCUUAGUAACGUAGCUAACGCGUGAAGUUGACCGCCUAGGGAGUACGGUCGCAAGAUUAAAACUCAAAUGAAUUGACGGGGUCAUAGCUGUUUCCU